UGGGGAAUUUUGGACAAUGGGCGAAAGCCUGAUCCAGCAAUGCCGCGUGUGUGAAGAAGGCCUUCGGGUUGUAAAGCACUUUUGUCCGGAAAGAAAUCCUUGGCUCUAAUACAGUCGGGGGAUGACGGUACCGGAAGAAUAAGCACCGGCUAACUACGUGCCAGCAGCCGCGGUAAUACGUAGGGUGCAAGCGUUAAUCGGAAUUACUGGGCGUAAAGCGUGCGCAGGCGGUUUGCUAAGACCGAUGUGAAAUCCCCGGGCUCAACCUGGGAACUGCAUUGGUGACUGGCAGGCUAGAGUAUGGCAGAGGGGGGUAGAAUUCCACGUGUAGCAGUGAAAUGCGUAGAGAUGUGGAGGAAUACCGAUGGCGAAGGCAGCCCCCUGGGCCAAUACUGACGCUCAUGCACGAAAGCGUGGGGAGCAAACAGGAUUAGAUACCCUGGUAGUCCACGUCCUAAACGAUGUCAACUAGUUGUUGGGGCAUUCAUUUUCCUUAGUAACGUAGCUAACGCGUGAAGUUGACCGCCUGGGGAGUACGGUCGCAAGAUUAAAACUCAAAGGAAUUGACGGGGUCAUAGCUGUUUCCU
Molecule: ribosomal RNA, 587 nt
Filed under: uncultured bacterium
Lineage: Bacteria
Description: partial 16S ribosomal RNA
Rfam family: Bacterial small subunit ribosomal RNA
Source: RNAcentral